Molecule: transfer RNA, 55 nt
Filed under: Aspiculuris tetraptera
Lineage: Eukaryota; Metazoa; Nematoda; Chromadorea; Rhabditida; Heteroxynematidae
Description: tRNA-Arg
Source: RNAcentral
AGAUGAUAAAUGGUGAACCAUAUUUAUUUACGGAGUAAAUUGAGAAAGUUGUCUU